GCCCUGUUGGAGAUGGAGGCCAGUCAGAAGUGCCUGGGAGAACAGCAGGCAGCUGUGCAUGGUGGGAAGAGCUCCGCCCAGUCAGCCGAGAGCGGCAGCGUUGCCAUGACUCCCACCUACAUGGACAGCCCACGAAAGGUAUCUGUGGACCAAACAGCCACUCCUAUGUUGGACGGCACCAGUUUGGGCGUAUGCACAGGCCAAUCCAUGGACAGAGGCAACAGCCAGACCUUUGGGAACUCCCAGAACAUAGGAGAACAGGGCUACUCCUCCACAAACUCCAGUGACAGCAGCUCUCAGCAGCUGGUGGCAAGCUCCUUGACCUCAUCCUCCACCCUGACAGAGAUCCUGGAAGCCAUGAAGCACCCCUCGACAGGAGUCCAGCUGCUCUCUGAACAGAAGGGCCUCUCACCAUACUGCUUCAUCAGCGCGGAGGUGGUGCACUGGCUGGUGAACCACGUGGAGGGGAUCCAGACACAGGCGAUGGCCAUUGACAUCAUGCAGGGUCUUGAUGUGCUGUUUUGCAUAGCCUUUGCCGUAUACACUCUCGUCUCCCUGAGAAUACGAUUUCCUUAUUCAAAUAAUGAAAUGCUACUACAGCAGUUUAAAUGAAUGAGCUGAAGGUACAUGUAUCAACAUGGAUAAAUGUCAGAAGCAUGAUGUGGACUGGAAAACCAACUUACAAAAUGAUAUAAUAUUAUGCCCUUUAUUUAAAAACUUAAAAUCCCAAAAGAAUACCUUAUAUUCUCU
RNAcentral lists this small RNA (750 nucleotides) under Pan troglodytes (chimpanzee). RNAcentral describes it as "processed transcript". The record is from RNAcentral. Lineage: Eukaryota; Metazoa; Chordata; Mammalia; Primates; Hominidae.